Long non-coding RNA from Bos indicus x Bos taurus (hybrid cattle), 829 nucleotides. The record is from Ensembl. Lineage: Eukaryota; Metazoa; Chordata; Mammalia; Artiodactyla; Bovidae.
UUUCUUGAGUCAAAAGACAGAUACCACCAAUACCACUGCCCAGGUUGCUGAGCCAAAGUGUGCCGGGCAGGAGGAAAGUCUUGAAGAAUUUGCAUUCUCAUUCCCUUCCUGCUUUCAUACUCAUCAGUACCGACCCCUCCCUCUGCCGAGCCACCCGUUGUAGUUAUGCUUCACUUUGUUCAGGGGACUUCUAACAAGGGCCUGAAUGACAGUUGUUGAUGGAAAACCAAAUUUCCUCUUCGUCCUCUCCCAGACAGUCACGUUGAUCAAAGGCAAACAAAUAAAUUCAUACAUUCAGCCCCUCUGCUCGUGGAUUCUUGUCCAAAUCCCAGUUUCUAUUCCAGCCAUUUUUCAUAAAGAGGAAUAGGUACCAACUGCUCUCUGGCCUUGGAGGAUCCUUGAGAAGAUGGACCCUUAGUCCAGCUUAAAGACCUUGACAUUUCCUGAAGUUCUAGCAGCCUGGAAGAAUGAAUAAUGACGUGGAUACAGUCCACUGAAAAAUGGAAGGAAAAAAAUGCAUGCUGGAUGUGGGGAAUUAGCUCAAGUGGUAGAGCGCUCGCUUAGCAUGUGAGAGGUAGUGGGAUCGAUGCCCACAUUCUCCAGUUUUUACUCUUUCAGCUGAGGAACUGUAAAUCUUCUAAAUUGUAGAAAGAAAGGAAAAAAUUAGACACUUUGGACUCUUCCCUGGGUAAGGGCAAAACAGGACAGGCCUGGCUCUAUUGGCCUUCAGUACGUACAUCUCUCAUUAAUGAUAAAUCUAGUAGAUUAGAAAAAUCAACAAACACGUUGAAAAAAUAAACACCACCAUACAUCAAUGGAUCGAACUGAC